RNAcentral lists this unclassified non-coding RNA (212 nucleotides) under soil metagenome. RNAcentral describes it as "partial internal transcribed spacer 1". The record is from RNAcentral.
AUGAACCUUUGAGGGUUGAGCUGGCGUUUAUUCGCAUGUGCUUGCCCUCUCAUCCUUUAUACACCUGUGCACUUUUGAAGGGAGACAUUAGUAGACAUUCACUUGUCGAAGGUAUCUCCCUUUACACUACAUACUCUUAAUGCUUGCAGGCCGUGUCUGCCACUGUGGCUCUAACUGCAUGUCCCCAGGCCACUCUUAAUUUUUACUAUAGU